GGGGACUCUCAGAGGGCACUGCCCCCACGGUCCACGGGAUGCUGCUGCGGGCUUCCAGCUUCCUUAAAAAUAGUUGGGCGUCAGCUUUGUAACCGUAAGAGAAAGCAACAUUCACCUUUAAGGUCACCACAGACGGAACGUUAACUCACUGAAGACCCGCCACCCCAUCGACUGGCUGGAGUGGAGGUGCUCCCACAGUCUCCCUUGAACAGAAACAGAUCCUGAGACCCCGAGGCCUUAAGAUAAGCGUCUGAACACUGUCACCACGUACAGCGUUUAUCUGUUGCUUCUGCGUUUAUCUGUACAAUCAAAGCGAGAAACAAACAUGCGAGAUGCUGUGGAGAUAGAAGACACCGAGGUGGCUACCCCAGCCCCAGAUGUCUGUCAGGACUGCGUCUGUUCUUCUCAGCUGUUAGCUUUUGAACAAAUGUUACAGAUGUGAAUAGAACAAGUUAUGCUAAUAAAAUACAGCUUACCCUUGAACAGUUUUCAAGGGUUUGAA
Odocoileus virginianus texanus is the source of this 502-nucleotide non-coding RNA. NCBI's taxonomy places the organism in Eukaryota, Metazoa, Chordata, Mammalia, Artiodactyla, Cervidae. The record is from RefSeq and is a predicted model, not a curated record.